Molecule: small RNA, 1427 nt
Rfam family: Eukaryotic large subunit ribosomal RNA (bases 520-1427)
AAAAGUAACAAGGUCUCCGUUGGUGAACCAGCGGAGGGAUCAUUACCGAGUUUACAACUCCCAAACCCCUGUGAACAUACCUUAAUGUUGCCUCGGCGGAUCAGCCCGCGCCCCGUAAAACGGGACGGCCCGCCAGAGGACCCAAACUCUAAUGUUUCUUAUUGUAACUUCUGAGUAAAACAAACAAAUAAAUCAAAACUUUCAACAACGGAUCUCUUGGUUCUGGCAUCGAUGAAGAACGCAGCAAAAUGCGAUAAGUAAUGUGAAUUGCAGAAUUCAGUGAAUCAUCGAAUCUUUGAACGCACAUUGCGCCCGCUGGUAUUCCGGCGGGCAUGCCUGUUCGAGCGUCAUUUCAACCCUCAAGCCCCCGGGUUUGGUGUUGGGGAUCGGCUCUGCCUUCUGGCGGUGCCGCCCCCGAAAUACAUUGGCGGUCUCGCUGCAGCCUCCAUUGCGUAGUAGCUAACACCUCGCAACUGGAACGCGGCGCGGCCAUGCCGUAAAACCCCAACUUCUGAAUGUUGACCUCGGAUCAGGUAGGAAUACCCGCUGAACUUAAGCAUAUCAAUAAGCGGAGGAAAAGAAACCAACAGGGAUUGCCCUAGUAACGGCGAGUGAAGCGGCAACAGCUCAAAUUUGAAAUCUGGCUUUCGGGCCCGAGUUGUAAUUUGUAGAGGAUACUUUUGAUGCGGUGCCUUCCGAGUUCCCUGGAACGGGACGCCAUAGAGGGUGAGAGCCCCGUCUGGUUGGAUGCCAAAUCUCUGUAAAGUUCCUUCGACGAGUCGAGUAGUUUGGGAAUGCUGCUCUAAAUGGGAGGUAUAUGUCUUCUAAAGCUAAAUAUUGGCCAGAGACCGAUAGCGCACAAGUAGAGUGAUCGAAAGAUGAAAAGCACUUUGAAAAGAGAGUUAAAAAGUACGUGAAAUUGUUGAAAGGGAAGCGUUUAUGACCAGACUUGGACUUGGUUAAUCAUCUGGGGUUCUCUCCAGUGCACUUUUCCAGUUCAGGCCAGCAUCAGUUUUCGCCGGGGGAUAAAGGCAGCGGGAAUGUGGCUCUCUUCGGGGAGUGUUAUAGCCCGCUGUGUAAUACCCUGGUGGGGACUGAGGUUCGCGCUUCUGCAAGGAUGCUGGCGUAAUGGUCAUCAACGACCCGUCUUGAAACACGGACCAAGGAGUCGUCUUCGUAUGCGAGUGUUCGGGUGUCAAACCCCUACGCGUAAUGAAAGUGAACGCAGGUGAGAGCUUCGGCGCAUCAUCGACCGAUCCUGAUGUUCUCGGAUGGAUUUGAGUAAGAGCAUACGGGGCCGGACCCGAAAGAAGGUGAACUAUGCCUGUAUAGGGUGAAGCCAGAGGAAACUCUGGUGGAGGCUCGCAGCGGUUCUGACGUGCAAAUCGAUCGUCAAAUAUGGGCAUGGGGGCGAAAGACUAAUCGAC